GAUGAACGCUAGCUACAGGCUUAACACAUGCAAGUCGAGGGGUAACAAGAGAAAAGCUUGCUUUUCUUGUUGACGAUCGGCGCACGGGUGAGUAACGCGUAUCCAACCUGCCUAUAACUAGGGAAUAACCUUGCGAAAGUAAGACUAAUACCCUAUGAUUUCCUUUGAUGACAUCAGAUUAGGAAUAAAGAUUUAUCGGUUAUAGAUGGGGAUGCGUCGUAUUAGCUUGUUGGCGGGGUAACGGCCCACCAAGGCAACGAUCAGUAGGGGUUUUAAGAGGACGCUCCCCCACAUGAGAAAAGGGAAACGGACCAAACUCCUACAGAAGUCAGCAGGAAGGAAUAUUGGUCAAGGGGCGGAAGCCUGAACCAGCCAAGUAGCGUGCAGGAUGACGGCCCUAUGGGUUGUAAACUGCUUUUGUACAGGAAUAAAGUUAGCCACGUGUGGUUAUUUGUAGGUACUGUAUGAAUAAGGACCGGCUAAUUCCGUUCCAGCCGCCGCCGUAA
RNAcentral lists this ribosomal RNA (506 nucleotides) under uncultured bacterium. RNAcentral describes it as "partial 16S ribosomal RNA". It matches the Rfam family "Bacterial small subunit ribosomal RNA", at positions 28 to 523 of the family's 1533-position model. The record is from RNAcentral.